AACGAACGCUGGCGGCAUGCCUAACACAUGCAAGUCGAACGAGACCUUCGGGUCUAGUGGCGCACGGGUGCGUAACGCGUGGGAACCUGCCCUUAGGUUCGGAAUAACUCCCCGAAAGGGGUGCUAAUACCGGAUAAUGUCUUCGGACCAAAGAUUUAUCGCCUUUGGAUGGGCCCGCGUUGGAUUAGCUAGUUGGUAGGGUAAAAGCCUACCAAGGCGACGAUCCAUAGCUGGUCUGAGAGGAUGAUCAGCCACACUGGGACUGAGACACGGCCCAGACUCCUACGGGAGGCAGCAGUGGGGAAUAUUGGAGAAUGGGCGAGAGCCGGAUACAGCAAGGCCGCGUGAGUGAUGAAGGCCUUAGGGUUGUAAAGCUCUCUUACCCGGGAUGAUAAUGACAGUACCGGGAGAAUAAGCUCCGGCUAACUCCGUG
This 433-nucleotide ribosomal RNA is filed under the name uncultured bacterium. RNAcentral's name for it is "partial 16S ribosomal RNA". It matches the Rfam family "Bacterial small subunit ribosomal RNA", at positions 29 to 507 of the family's 1533-position model. The record is from RNAcentral.